UGCAGUUAAGACUAUGAUCCAAUUUGAGUGAUUUUUUUCAGAACGGUAUAAGAAACCCAUGAGUACUGAAGCUAAGUUCACAUUCAUAAAUAAAAUCUCCAGAGCAGAAGAUUAAAAGCAUGAAUGAAGACCUCUUUACUACCAGAAUCCAGAUCACAUUUUGAAUUAUUGAUGUUACAAGGUUCACACGCAUGCAGGGAACUGAUGACGAGGCAGUGCCAUUCGAUGCCGUGCUUCAGGCUGGUGUGUUUAUCAGCGGAGAGUCUGGCCGCCAGACCUAGAUAAACACAUGCUUAUCAACAACCAACACCAUAUGGCAGGAAACAGCCUCUGACUUGGGCAGUGGCAUCCAGGAUCGGCCCUCCUGGUGUCUGCACGGGGCCCAGCUGCCAGAGUACAAAUUAAUUGCUUCUCUUCUUUUUGCUCCUCUGGAAGGUACUAGUAUAUAUCCCAAAGCCUUUGUUCUGGCCAUUAUACUAUUUUUACCAACCAUUCUAUGCCAGUGCUAUCCCUUCUAUGACAAGCAACUCCUAGUUGUUUAAUCCAUUAAUCAACUAAUUACCAUAAAUAAUUUAUUAAGGUACCAAAUUAAAUCAACUUGGAUUUGCAGAGGGAUAGCUCAAGAGAAUUAUUUACUUUCCAAAGUAUACAAAUGUAAUACUUAACAAGUUUUUAGAUAUUUCUGAUGUAUUAAAAAAUAAUGCUCAUUUAGACAACAACACACCAAAUGAUGAUAAUGAAGUUAACUUAUAAAAGCAGUGGAUCUUUGGUUCAGAGAUAUGUUUAGAGAGGCAACAAGAAUUUGAAGUACUAUUAAAA
Long non-coding RNA from Myotis davidii, 819 nucleotides. RefSeq lists it as uncharacterized. Lineage: Eukaryota; Metazoa; Chordata; Mammalia; Chiroptera; Vespertilionidae. The transcript has 4 exons. The record is from RefSeq and is a predicted model, not a curated record.